This 468-nucleotide ribosomal RNA is filed under the name uncultured bacterium. RNAcentral describes it as "partial 16S ribosomal RNA". It matches the Rfam family "Bacterial small subunit ribosomal RNA", at positions 28 to 507 of the family's 1533-position model. The record is from RNAcentral.
GACGAACGCUGGCGGCGUGCUUAACACAUGCAAGUCGAACGGAAAGGCCCUGCCUACGCUGGGUGCUCGAGUGGCGAACGUGUGAGUAACACGUGAGUAUCCCGCCCUUGGGUUGGGGAUAACUUCAGGAAACUGGGGAUAAUACCGGAUAGGUGCUCCUGCUGCCUGGUGGGGGUCGGAAAGUUUCGGCGGUUGGGGAUGGACUCGCGGCUUAUCAGCUUGUUGGUGGGGUAGUGGCUUACAAAGGCUUUGCCGGGUAGCCGGCCUGAGAGGGUGACCGGCGACAUUGGGACUGAGGUACGGCCCAGACGCGUAUGGUGGGCAGCGGUGGGGAAUAUUGCACAGUGGGGGGAAGCCUGAUGAAGCAACGCCGCGUGUGGGAUGACGUCCUUCGGGUAGUAAACCGCUUUCGCCUGUGACGAAGCGCGAAUGACGGUAAUGUGAGAAGAAGCACCGGCUAACUACGUG